This 68-nucleotide transfer RNA is filed under the name Endoclita minanus. RNAcentral's name for it is "tRNA-Trp". Lineage: Eukaryota; Metazoa; Arthropoda; Insecta; Lepidoptera; Hepialidae. The record is from RNAcentral.
AAGACUUUAAGUUAACCUAAACUAAUAAUCUUCAAAAUUAUUUAUAAAAAAAAUUUUUUUAAGUCUUA